GUUAUGUUCAUUCUUUGAAAUAGACUGAUGACUCUUAAGUAAGUACAUAUGCAAAAUGCUUGGCAGGGUCUUACCCGUCAAUUAUGGCUGGAAGCAAAGAAGUUAAUACGGUUUUAAAUGAACUAUUAGGAUGCAAAAGACUAUUUUAAACAUGUGAUGAUAAAGUGCCCUUGUAGCAGAACAGGAGAUGCUGGUUAAAAGAGAAGAAACCUGUUUUAAAGGUCUGCAACAUUGCUAUCUCUAUUGGUGUUUAUUAUGCUUUGGUAAAACAAAUGCAGCUAUGAGCCGUCGCCUGGAGUUACAACAAAACUUCAUGCGCAAUGAUAUAUAAGUUUACAAUAUGGUUGUUUUGCAUUUAGGGCCAGUUAACUACAGUCCACGACACAAAAAUCUGAUUCUGUAUGUUUUUGCUCUGUUUAAAAUAAACUUCAGUUUCAAAGAUUGAUGAAUUACCACAAAUUUCCAUUGUCACAAUUCUCAAUUUCGAUGUAUUUGUUCAAUGGCGAUUAUGUGGUUAGAAAUAAGGAAUUUCCUACAAAAAGCUGCAGCUACAUUUGCAAAUGUAUGGACUAUUUACAUAAUACAAAUCCUAUGCACAUUAACAAACACACGGAUUGAACCAAGCAAGGCUCACCUCCAUGCAUAUACACUGGGUAAAUUUCCACUCCACACAGACAAUCUUCAGUUGUCUUGCUGAGGGGGGAACUGCUGGUCAGAGCCAUAGACUGUCAAUGCACAACCUCUGAUGGGACAAUGACACGCACGUGCAUACACAAACACACACACACACACACACACACACACACACACAAAAUAGCCGUGAAAGGCUGUAGCGGCAGCAACAAAGAAGGGAAGGGUAUAGGGAUGGAUAGCCAUGAUGUGCUUACGGUCGAACAUGAAGUGUGACCCACUCAACCUGACCAGUCUAUAUUAGGACAGGAAGCAAGGGCCAUUAUGGGUGUUCCACGUGGCUCCCCCAAAAGCAUCUCGGUGAGGCAAAGUCAUGGGAAUUUAUCGCCCUACAGAAAGACCCACGUGGGGGUCCGCGCGUUUCAAGAAAGGGGUCAGUGAAGAGCAACAAAACACAGUGCUCAUUUAUCAAAUAAGGCUGCGGGAGCAGGUUUAUGGCUUCAAAAAAAUAAGUCAUAGAAUGAUCAAAAAAAAAGAAGAGAAUUCUUGCUUUCAACAGUCAGCAAGAAUUAAUCUAAUUUGUACAAACUACAGAGUCUAGCCAUGCUAAUGUGAACCAGAGGAAACAGCUUUCCUAAAUGUUCUUUUACUUCUCAAUAUGUUUUGACAUUUGAGAGAAGGAUGUCGCUCUGUGGGAUUCCUGCAGAUUUUUCAUGCAGUUUCCAAGUUAAAAUGAAACAUAGCUGCUCUGGUUUAAUUGUAUUUAUAUUCAAGAAAUAUUGGAAAUGAAGUUACUGUUAUAAAGUAAUCCAAACAUUUAUAUUAUUGUUGUACCCAAUAGAAAAUAUGUAAAUGUGAUAGUCUCCACACUCAUCAUAGCAGGGAAAGGCUGACCAAUCUUAGGCCAUCGACUUUACUAACAUCACAAGAGGUCAGAGUUCGAGUUUAAUACUUGAAUGGAAAUGCUAGGGCGCUGUGGGAGGGCACCUCAUCGCUCCUACAGAGUGCAAGGUAUAACAAUAAGCGUGUGUGUGUACGUACGUACAAACGUGUGCAUGUGCAAUUAAUAGUACAAUUAUGAGAGUUGACAGCAAGGUCAUGGCCCAGGGUUUGCUGCAGAGACAAUACCAGCAUCCUUUCUCAGGGAAUAAUAUGCGGUUGGUAAGACCCACUAAAAAGACCUGUGGCUUGAUGGCUGAGGACCAAUAACCUUCCUGUCCCCCAGCUCCAAGAACAAUUACUAAAACAGGGUAUCGUCUCCCGUGCGUGCGCAUGAACUCUAAUGUUUUUUUCAACAAAGUACCAAAAUGCCAAAGAACAUUAUAAAAAACAAAUUUACAACAUUAUUUUGUCUGCUUUUUAUAUCUAAAAAUCUGCAUUUUACCGUGGGUUUUCAACUAAAGGAUUCAAAUUAGUAAUUAUUUUCAGGUUUUCUGAUAUUUUCCUGGAUUUGAAGGGUCCUCUCAGACCUUAUUCUUCAUACAUCCUCCAUUCCUGCCUUAAUUAUACCAUCUGCCCACAGCAAUACAUUAUUUUCCCAAAUUGCAAAACGGACCCCAAACAAUGAGAUUGCACACUAACUUCUGGUUUGGAAUAACCUAACCUAAACAUCAAAUCUGCUAAAUAUACAGCACAGAAAAACCUUUUAUUUCAAAAAGUACCAAUAAAUCAUGACUACAUGGCAAGUGAAAAACACUUCGGUAGGUUCCAGUUUGUAUCAUUGCUGUUUUUAAUCAAAAUGGGCUCAUUAUAAUGUAGACUAAAUAUAUUUAAAAAGGUAUGGAGUAUCUCUCUUGGCAUAUAAAAAACGUUAUAGUUUUAUUAUAUUAAAAUUAUAUUUUAUUUAAAUAUUUGUAAUAUGUGGGCCACCACCUAAAUUUAUUUUUGCAACACUCGUAUGUAUAAUUGUAAUAAACAAAUGUGCAGCCUUGAUACCUUCCACAUGCUGUGCCUGCACAAACAAAGUACUACAUCAAUCAAACAUGAUACAUCUGUCUCACUCCAAGAAUAAAGGAUUGUUCUGUUGCAUGGCACUUCUGAAAGAAAAUGGUAAUUUGAGGGAGAAGGGGGAACAUUGGUGCAACAUUUUAUCCUCUCAAGGUGUGGAAAUGAAAAACAGACCAUAACUAAUACGAGGUGUAGGUCUGCUGGUUUUCUCAUCUCACAUCAUGAAACGUGUAAAUGCAGAACACUCACUGAUGCAAAGUCAAACCUUUUGUGGUAUUUUUACUAGGACGCGCUAAAUAGCCUAAAUUAACAUUAUCCAUUUUUGGCUGCAGAAAACAUGUAAGAAAGCAACCAAUUAACUUGUGUUUUAACAUAAACAAUUUGGGCUUCAUAGAUAAAGCCCAGGAAACGUUUCGACUCAGCGUUUUAAAGGCAUCCUUUACAUCUCUUACCCCCAGCAGUGCUCCAUGGUGCACAUAUCAGCGGAGACAGGCACAGCCUGUUGCAAGGCAGCAUUGAGAACUGUGAGAUCUAUUUCCCCCUAUUCCAACACACUGGGAAGACAAGCCUUCUCACCCCCAGCAAACAUCAAUCUCAUUCUGUCUGCAACAUGCAACACUUCAACAUCAUUCAUCAAUGUUUAGGCUCCGUUUAUGGCGAUGUCCCCUUUUGUACUGUGCAACUAUUAGAGGGGGGAGACCGGACUAGAGCGAGGCAGGCAGUAAAACAGUUUCCGCCCAGUGAAUCACAUUCAGAUCCUCACACAGGCGACUGGGGGCUGACCCCUGCCAAGCGAUGACAUAAACACAGACAAACAAAGGACCUGAGCUCUGAGCAAGUGUGGAUCUUAGAGGAUGUAAAUUCACGCAAAAAAAAAGACUGUGACCCAAAGGUUUGGGAUGAUGGAAAUAGAGAUUUUAGGUUUGAAGGGUCGACGAAUGACGAUUUUUCAUGGCAAGUUUUGCUGCCUCUUUACAAACAAAGGGGCGUUCUGCUCAGCAGAUCCAAUAACGUCUCCAUUUUAAACAAAGAUAUAGUCCAGAAACAGUUAACAGCGAGGGCUGGUGCAACGGAAGAGCAGGUGUAAGUGCUGAAUGGAUACAGAAGCAGCUCCCUCCCCAGAGAGAAAAGGGAUUUAACACUGCUGAGGCACCACGGAGGAGGCAACAAAAGAGAUUUGCAAGGGACGCACCAAGAUGACAUCACGUCAAAGCAAUUAGAAAUAAGAAAAUAAGGUGGACAUAUUCAAUUAUUCAUGGGAGAAAAAAAAACACCCCAUCAACUGGUGUAAAACCACGAAGCCGGCACGUCUGAGUUAAAUACGAAAAAGAAGCAUCUCCGCAAUUAGGCUUCAGGCACCACUCGCUGAUUCAUCAGUAACAAGCGCAUGUGCGCAACUUCGAGUGUGCCAAGAUUACUUACGGCCCGAGUAAGCCUAUAGAUUAGUCAACGGAGCCCCUAUGAGAGGGUCUCCAGCUCACCAUGUGUGGCAGUUCCCCCCUGAAUUGUUGUUUUAUUUCGGUGGGAGAGAGAGAAAGCCACACAAAGCGCAGUGAUCACACUGGAGAUCCUGGAUGUAACCAUGGAAGCGUUUGUCCGCGUCCUCAAUGGGCUCCUCGGCCAUUCAUUUACUGAUUGCGCUGAAUCAAUAUUUAGGCUUUUCAAUUUUAUUAGCUGCUCCGAGGGGGGGGAUUGUUGGCACGAUGCAAAAAGGAAUUAGCAGCGGCCAACCACUUUUAAUCGUUUUGUUAUAGUGUUGGACAAUAUGUCCGCUUGAGCCGUCUGGCAUAAUUGAUGAGGAGUGUCGCUAGUCGUUUGUUUCUAUUAUGUCCUGGACUAUCAACACACCGCUAUAACGCCUCGAGCAAUCACUACUGACUGACUUACUAAAAACAAAAAACACUGAGAGGUUCGCGUGGUCCCAGAGGCGCUAAAGCCAUGUGUCAUCCUAUAAAAUCAAUCCGGCAAAAGUUAUGACGCUGGUCGCCACACAUCCGCACUCACGAAGACAAACAGAAGCCUGCACUUGAAAAGAGACUUGCGAUGCAUUAUUCAAACUUGCCUGACACCUUCCUUGGAUUCCCCGUCCGAGAUAAAUUACUUGAGUGUAUCUAAUGCCGGCGAUCACAUCGAUGAGUCCUCUCGGGAGUCUGUGGGUCCUUCUCUUCGCUUCCUCCCUCCGGCGGAUCGGGGAUCCCGCUCAGCUACACGGGGUGAAGCGUGGGUGUCAUCAUGCGGGACUGAUGCCGGGGGGGGAUACCGGAGACUUGAGAGGAAUCCCCGUUUUUUUUUUUUAAGGACCUUCUAUUCUCUCUAUAACCCGCUCGUUCCUCCCGCGGCCAUGUGAGAGCCACUGCUGCUGUACACUCACUCACUCACUGAUCCAACGCGAAGGUUUUGCAGCGACUCGGGGAUUCCAGUUCGUCUCCCGGUCUCUGCCUAAUGAGACACGAUGUUUUAAUCCCAUUUGUCUCUGGUGGGGGCUCGGUGUGGUGAUGGGGCAGCGCCGCACUGUGGCCCGGACAGGCAGAAACCCGAGUAAACUGCUCUCAGCUUGUAUUGUGGUCACUCAACAUAAACUUCUUCAUUUAGUUAUUUCAAAUUUGAAAAAAAUACACAACCCGCCAGCUAGGGGCGUUUCUCUGCACAGCCAUAACGUUGUUGGCUGCCAGCUGAGUUAAAAGGCAUGAAGUAAUUUGAGCUGAUGCUAACCGUUAAUGUAGCUAAGCUAACGCUAACUGUAACGUUAAGUUAAGUUUAAUUAUACAUUUACAUUUUUUAAUUUAGCUGACGGCUUUAUCCAACGCAACUAACAAUAUGCAUAUUCAAUCACAUGGGUACAUACCAAUAAUACGAAUAAUGAAGAAAGAAC
This is a long non-coding RNA of Gasterosteus aculeatus aculeatus (three-spined stickleback), 5449 nucleotides long. The record is from Ensembl. NCBI's taxonomy places the organism in Eukaryota, Metazoa, Chordata, Actinopteri, Perciformes, Gasterosteidae.